AGCUAUUGAUGAGAAAAU
Molecule: microRNA, 18 nt
Filed under: Corchorus olitorius
Lineage: Eukaryota; Viridiplantae; Streptophyta; Magnoliopsida; Malvales; Malvaceae
Description: nve-miR-2033-
Source: RNAcentral